GACAGCUCCCUACUACUACUGUCCUGCCGAACACUGUAGGCACGCUGUGUCGGUGCCAGAAUGUGCGGCUGGUGUGUUGGCUGUGAAAACAAAUAACACCUCUCACUGCAAACUGUGAUUUAUGUGUGACAAGCAAAUCGGAAUACGAAACUGGUCAGGACAGGUCACCUGAUCCCAAUCUCCACCCUGUCUAUUAUGGUGUUUACUCCUCAUUCUUGCCGUGAUUGUGAGGCUCUCGUCGAGGUAUUCCAGUUCGAUCCUUCAGUCCAAAGACAAGUUGGAAAAUGAAUUUCAAAAUAGUAUGUGGUAAUAUCGCCAGCCAGUGGUGCAGUGGCAUCCGCACCGGACUUCGAGGCAAGUUAGAAUCCCGGGUUUGAAUCUGGCCAGCUCCUUGCACGCCCUCCAUCUGCACCGGGAGCACAGAGACAGCAACCCGAGGCCGUAAAAAGAAAAGAGAAAAAUGGUUAAGGUUGCCGCCUGGUGUGCUGCAAGGCACGGGAAGGAACAGGUGAAGAAUACAAGUCAGAAGAAGCCAAUAAGAUCAUGAUUAAUCUUUUACGAGGAAUAGGCACCCUACACACGCCAGAAACUCCUGUCUGCAGGGAACGGGCACUCCACACACCUCAUCCCGCUCGUCCUUGGGGGAUGGACACAAUACACACAACAAUCCACAGUGAAAGGACACCCACACACUCAACCACUGCCUGUCUGCAGGAAACAGACACUCUCCGCCUUCCUCUCUAACAGUAUACAUCUCCUGCAUCCCAUCGCUGCUGAUGGCCUUGCCCCUUCUCGUCUGCCAGGAGUUCAUCCACCAGUUAUUACCCCUCAAUCUUGAACCGAAGCAGAUAACUUACCCAAUAUCGAACUGACCCCACAAACUUUGGACUCACUUUCAAUGACUCUUCAACUCACGAACUUGAUAUUUAUUGUUUAUUGAUUUUUUUUUGUAUUUGCAGUUUGUUGUCUUGUACACAUUGGCUUUACGUCCAUCUUUGUUAUGUGUGCUAUUUCAUGGGUUAUAUUGUGUUUCUUUGUAUUUAGUGUCAGUGCCCGCAAGAAAAUGAAUCUCAUGGUUAUAUAUAGCGUCAUAUCUACAUUGAUGUGUACUUUGUGUGAUGCCCCUUCUCCCUUUUAGCAGGGAGAGAGAAAGAGAACGCCUGUGGUAUGUCAAAUUGGCAGGUGAACGAUUAGUUUUUGCUGUACUACAGAUCAUGGUCUUUCUUGGGGGGGCUAUUGCUUGCUUCGUGGGUGGAGGGUGCCGACACUUUUCUGCUCAAAUGGGGGGAGGGAGAGAGUCGAUGCUUGUGCGUGGGAGGGGGGAGUAGGGGGAGCUUUGGGGUUAUAAUGUUUUUAUUGUUACUCAUUUUUGGGGCACGCUUCUGUUUUCAUGGAUGUCUGUGAAGAACAAGAAUUUCAGGCUGUAUAUUGUAUAUAUUCUCUGACAUUAGAUGGAACUAUUGAACUAUUGGUAACAGACUAACUUUGAACGGUAGAAUGGAAUGGAGCCUUGGGCAGAUGGAAAAUGGCUGCUGUAGGGUGACCUGGUUCCCUGGUCAGCCCAGAGGCGGGCAUGUUGCCUUGUUGUAACCCUCUCUGCAUGCACUGAGCUCCACCACAGCAACAGAAGAUAAAAACAAGCAUUGUCUCACUGACACAGAAUAUCACAGAAGGAUAUUCACUUGAGUUUGCUCUAAGGAGAGAAUAAACAGUACAGAAGCUUUAAUUAAGCCACCCACCACAGGCCUGCUUCCUUGCUGUAUGACUCUCUGAUUCUACUGUAGUCUAAAACCUUACAACAGGCCAUUGUCUCCAGUCCUCCCGGUACCAUGGGAGUGUUGCCAUGACAAUCACCUGACCACAGCACCUGACUGAGCCUGGCCGUUGCCAAAAGUAAAAUGUUGCAGCACACCCGAUCCUCCAGGCUCAUCUCCCAGCUCUUAAAAUUUGAUGUGAGCAGAAUGCCUGGGUGUGGUAAUGCCCCCAGCGCCGAAUUGAUUGUCUCAGACUCCUCAGCUGCUUGAUAAAGACCAAUGUCCCUCUGCCUUCCAAAUCCAUUCCAAGCAAUCACUGAAGAACGUGUUAUGACUAGAGCUGGGUGUCUCCAGGGACCUAGUCUUAGGUCUCCUAACAAUUUUGGAUUUCUCGACUCAGAGUUAGCCAACAAAGAAACAGGCCGUCCUACCCCACUAGCUCAUACACACCAAAAUGCUCCACCUGUUGGCAUUUGGCCGAUACCCUUCUCAGCUUUUCUGAACCAUUUGCCUGUCCAAGUUGUUACUAUACUUGCCUCAACCACUUCGUCUGGCAGCUCAUUGCACGUUACACCUCUCACAUGUCAUAGGAUCACCCCUACCGCAAUCCUCCCCUCUCUACCACUUACAGGGAGACCACUGCAGUUACUUAGCAACUAGAACAGCAGCUACUUGUCUAAAACAUUGCCCCAGGACAGGAGUUCAAAUCACAACAUGGCAAAUUAAAAAAGGGAUCUGCUGCUUUCCUGCCAUAUAUGACAAAUAAACUCUUGGGCUUUCAGCUGGACUUUAACUACCGGUAAUGUUUCGAUGCCAAACUCUUCCAUCUUCAGGUUAAAAUCGAUACCUGUGCUGGGCUGGAAGCCCAAGAAGAGUUUACAUGGCAAAUUAAAUUCACAAAAUUAAAUAAAAAAUUGGGAAAUCUUUAAAAUAAGUCGAGCAGUCUUAGUAACAAUAUCCCAGAAACUAUAAGAUUGUAAUAAAACCUCACCAAUUUGCUUUAAGUUCAAGUUUAUUGUCAUCUGACUGCACACAAACACAACCAAAUGAAACAACAUUGCUCCAGGCCAUGGUGCACCCACAACACACAUGACACACUGCAGAUAGUACAGAAUAUUACCACAAAUAAGUUAAUAAAAUGUAAUUCAAAGUACAUGUAGUGCGCAGCGCAGGUAAACAGUAAGCAAUAAACAGAAAACAUCUCACUAUCCUAGUGACGAGACCUCAGUGAUGACAUCAGUCUCUCAGCCUGAGGGAAGAAGCUGGUACCCAGUCUGGCAGACCCAGUUCUGAUACUCCUGGGCGUCCUUUCUGACAGUACUGGGAAGCAAAUAUGAGCUGUCCCUACACAAUUCCAGACUGAACAACAAGAUUGGCUCUUAAUGACCUCCUCAGUUCAGGGGUAUUUUGGUUUGAACAAUAUACACCAACAUCGACAGCAACGUCCACACGCCAAAGGUAGAAACAGAAGCAGGAUCAGGCUGUUUGACCCCUUGCUUUUGCUCUGUCUUUCAAUAAAAUCAGGGCUGAUGCUUUAACUGCAGCCUCAUUUUCUUGCAAUAGUCCAUAUCACCGAAUGCAAGACAAACUAUCGAUCACUUGUCUUCCACAUACUCAUCUUCAUUGUGUAGAGAAUUCCAGAGAUUUAUUGGAGAAACAUGAGACUGCAGAUGCUGGAGUCUGGAGGAACACACAAGAUGAUAGGGGAACUUGGUGGGCCCAAUAGGUGCUGCAACAGAAGCUGCCUGUUCAACUGAGUUCAUUCAGUAAUCAUGCGGAGUUCCAAAGAUUCACUUCCCUCUAAUCAAAGACAAUUCUAUCCUGAAUGGCUGUCCUCCAACUCUGAGACCAUGAUGUCUAGAUCUAGGCACCCCAUUCCAGAUAAAAUACCAUCUAUUUAUCCACUUAGUAAAGCCCUGUAGACUAUUAUACCUUCCUUAAGACACUGGAACAGAAUUAAGCCAUUCAGCCCAUCAAGUCUGGUGUUGAGAUGGGUAAUAAAUCAGUCAAGGUAGAAUUUCGGAGCAUUCACCUACCUUCUUCCCAUAACCUUUGACGCCCUUUCUAAUCAAGAACAUAAUUGCCUCCACCUUAAGUUACUUGGCUUCCACAGCCAUCUGUGGUGAUGAAUUCCACAGAUUCACCACCCUCUGGCUAAAGAAAUUCCUCUCAUUUUUGUUCUAAAUUAACUUUUUACUCUGAGGCUGUGUUCUCUGGUCCUAGACUCUCUCACUUUUGGAAACAUCAUCUCUAUCCAGACUGGGAGUUUCCAACCUGGGGGUCCACAGACCCCUUGUUUAAUGGUGUUGGUCCACGGCACAGAAAGAUUAGGAAACCCCUGAUCUAGAUCCUUCAUUAUUUGGUAUAUUUCAAUGAGAUUCCCCUUAUUCUUAUAACAUCCAGUGAGUACAGGAGCAGAGCCAUUAAAUAUUCUUAACACAUUAACCCUUUCAUUCUGGAAUCAUUCUUAUGAACAUCCUCUGGACCCUCUCCGAUGCCUGAACAUCCUUUCUUAGAUACGGAGGCCAAAAUCUAUGCACAGUACUCUGAAUAUGGUCUAAGCAAUGCCUUAUAAAACCUCGGCAUUACACCCUUGCUUUUAUAUUAAAGUCCUCUUAGAAAGCGAUCACCUCUCAUUCUUCAGAGUACACAGGCCCGGUUUUCUUAAUCUCAUCACAUAUAACGUAUCCCAGAAUCAAUCUGGUGAACAUCUGUUGCACUUUUUCUAUCACGAGUAUGUUCUUUCUGACCCAGAGCCACAGAGUUAUACAGCCUAGGGACAGACACUUCAGCCCAACAUAUCACACCAGCCUUCGAGUACCUAUCUGUUCAAGUCUCGUUUUCCAGCGCCUGCUCCAUGGUCUCCUAUGCCUUGCUAACUCAGGCAGUCAUAGAGUUAUACAGCCCAGGAAAGGUCCUUCAGUCCAACUCACCCACUCCAUCCAAGUUCUCUGCCUGUGCUAGUUCCAUUUGCCUGUGUUUAAUCUAUAUCUCUCUAAAGCUUUCGUAUCUAUGCACCUGCGCAAAUGUCUUUUAACACUCUAAGUCCACACACCUCUUCCACUUCUUUGGCAGCUUGGUGUAAAUACGCAGCAUCCUCUGUACAGAAAACUUGCCUUUCUCCUCCUUUAUAUCCUUCCCCUCUGACCUCAAACUUAUUCCCUCCAGUUUCAGACUCCCCUACCCUGGGGGGGAGAAAACCAUGACUAUUCACAUUACCUGCAUCCCUCGUGCUUCUAUAAACCUCAAGGAUAGGGAAGGUCGAGAUGGAUAUGUCCCAAACAGAGGCAAGUAGGACUAGCAGGCAUGGAUGAGUUCAGCCGAAGGGACCAUACUUUUCUAUAUACAGUGGAUUCUGGUUAACUGGGUCAUUGGUUAAUCAGGACAGCUGCUUAUUUUGGAAACUCUUAAAGACCAAAAACUAAUUGAGAAAAUAGACCGGAUUCUUUUUGUUUAUGUGGGACACCACGCCACUACGCCAGAGUGUCAGGACCGCUUUGUUUAUGCUGUAUAUCAAUGAUCUAGAUGAUGGAACAGAUGGCUUUGUUGCCAAGUUUGCAGAUGAUACAAUGACUGGUGGAGGGGCAGGUAGUGUUGAGGGAACAGGUAGGCUGAAGAAGGACUUAGAAAGAUUAGGAGAAUGGGCAAGAGAGUGAGAUGCAAUGAGAUGCAAUGUUGGAAAAUGCAUGGUCUUGUACUUUGGUAGAAGAAAUAAAUGUGCAGACUAUUUUCUAAACAGGGAGGAAGUCCAAAUGUCUGAGAUGCAAGGGGACUUGGGAGUCCUUGUGCAGAACACCGUAAAGGUUAACUUGCAGGCUGAGUCAGUGGUGAGGAAGGCGAAUGCAAUGUUGGCAUUCAUUUCGAGAGGCCUAGAAUACAAGAGCAGGGAUGUGAUAGUGAGGCACUGGUGAGGCCUCACCUUGAGCAUUGUGAACAGUUUUGGGCUCCUCAUCUAAGAAAAGAUGUGCUGGCAUUGGAGAGCAUUCAGAGGAGGCUCACAGGGAUGAUUCUGGGAAUGAAAGGGUUUGAUGACUCUGGGCCUGUACUCAGAAUUAAGAAGGAUGGGGGGGGGGAUCUUUAUUGAAACUUUUUGAAUUGUGAAAUUCUAGAGAGAGUAGAUGUGGAAAGGAUGUUUUCCAUGGUGAGGGUGUCUAGACAACACAGCACAGCCUCAGGAUAGAGGGAUGUCCAUUUAAAACAGAGAUGCGGAGAAAUUUCUUUAGCAAGAGGGUGGUGAAUUUGUGGAAUUUGUUACUACAGGCAGCUAUGCAAGUCAGGUCGUUGGAUGUACUUAAGGCGAAGAUUGAUAGGUUCUUGAUUGGCCAUGGCAUGAAAGGUUACAGGGAGAAGGCCAGAGGGUGGGGCUGAGGAGGGGCAAAAAGGAUCAGCCAUGCUUGAAUGGUGCAGCAGACUCAAUGGGCCAAAUUUGCUCCUGUGUCUUAUGGUGUUAACUGGGACAGGAGAAUGGUGACAAACAGUUUCUAACUAGUGUCAGUCGCGUGCACUUGUGUGGCUGUUAAGACACUGGGCGAAAAGCAAAUGGUCUUUGAAUAAUGUCAUCUGUGUGUGUUUAUGUUCAAAAAGCAAUUACUUUUGUCACUGACAGUUGGUAAGAAAUAAGUAGGCAAGACAAUUCAUACUGUGUUUCUUACUGCAGUUUCAAGCUUUAGGCUUGGAGAUGCCAGAACUGGCCAAGGGGGAAAAUGAAAUUAUUCCACUACUUUAACAAAUUAAGAACUAUGAAGAAUUUGAAGGUAUUGACAAUCAUCUUGAGUAUUACAAUGAAGAUUAAGAGGAUGCAGACAAGAGAAAAUCUGCAGAUGCUGGAAAUCUGAGCAACACACACAAAAUGCUGGAGGAACUCAGCAGGCCAGGCAGCAUCUGUGGAAACGUCGACUGUACUUUUUUCCAUAGAAGCUGCCUGACCUGCUGAGUUCCUCCAGCAUUUUGUGUGUGUUAGUAGGAGGAUGCAAUUGCCAAGAGCAUGAAGACAGCUCAUUAUCUGCAAUGGGUGUCGGUGCUGAUUUCGUUUAUUUUCAGUCAAUCAAAAGAACACGUCAACGUACAUUGGAUGAAUCCAUCGAUAACUAUUAGGAACUAAUACAUAGUUUUAUGGUAAUGUAUUAGUACUGGUAGUGUCUAAUUUGUUCUGUAUUUCAUUUAAAUACAU
Hypanus sabinus (Atlantic stingray) is the source of this 6924-nucleotide long non-coding RNA. RefSeq lists it as uncharacterized. The record is from RefSeq and is a predicted model, not a curated record. The transcript is spliced from 3 exons. NCBI's taxonomy places the organism in Eukaryota, Metazoa, Chordata, Chondrichthyes, Myliobatiformes, Dasyatidae.